CAUGCAGGCGGCUUAUUAAGUCGGAUGUGAAAUCCCCGAGCUUAACUUGGGAAUUGCAUUCGAUACUGGUGAGCUAGAGUAUGGGAGAGGAUGGUAGAAUUCCAGGUGUAGCGGUGAAAUGCGUAGAGAUCUGGAGGAAUACCGAUGGCGAAGGCAGCCAUCUGGCCUAAUACUGACGCUGAGGUACGAAAGCAUGGGGAGCAAACAGGAUUAGAUACCCCAGUA
This 225-nucleotide ribosomal RNA is filed under the name uncultured Acinetobacter sp. RNAcentral describes it as "partial 16S ribosomal RNA". It matches the Rfam family "Bacterial small subunit ribosomal RNA", at positions 568 to 792 of the family's 1533-position model. The record is from RNAcentral. Lineage: Bacteria; Pseudomonadati; Pseudomonadota; Gammaproteobacteria; Moraxellales; Moraxellaceae.